This 4214-nucleotide long non-coding RNA is filed under the name Centruroides sculpturatus (bark scorpion). RNAcentral's name for it is "uncharacterized LOC111626320, transcript variant X1". The record is from RNAcentral. Lineage: Eukaryota; Metazoa; Arthropoda; Arachnida; Scorpiones; Buthidae.
AUAAUUAGAUAAACAUUUUGAAAUAGUUUUACUGUUUGUGAUUUUCAAAAUUGUUGUAUCAUGGCAUAUAUUAGCACUAUGUAAUAAGAUUUGAAUUGCAUGAUGAAAAGUUGUAGGACUAGAAUGGAAAGAAUAUAGAUCGUUGAAAGGAAAGAAUUUCCAGAACACAAAGUUAUUGAAUGUCCAUUUAUUCGCAAAGGAAAACGUGGAGGAAAUUUGAAAAGUGUGUAAUACUCGUAGCUAAAAAUAACAAUAAUAUAUAUAUUUCUUUUGUAUAAGAACCGAUUGGACCACGUACUUCCCGAAAAUGUUCGAAUGGCCAGAAGACGUUUUAAUGCCGAUUUAAUAAAUGAGACGUUGGAGAUCUGCCAUUCGAAAUCUAUAAGGCAGAAAACAGUUUAGGAUAAAGAGGAGGUGGAAGAAAUAUUUUCAGGCAUUAGUAAUUUUUCUCUUUAGCAAGAUGAACAUUUGUACAUUGAAAAAAUGAACGUUCUACUUCGUAAAUAGAAUCAUAAAUCCGAACCAGUAUGCCAAGGUGCCGACGACGUCUUUAUAAAAUAUCUACCGUAAAGAGAAAAAAAAAGAUUUAGGCAAGAACUGUUGUCGCAUCCAUAUGUCAAAAUAUUAAGAUUGUAUCGGCCUAGAUAUUUCCUAGAUCGGGAUUAAAGAUAAGCUCUAUCCGACACGAAAUUCGCUGAAAAGAACCGGACAGAACUUAGAUCGAGAAUUCGAAAAGAAUGCUGUAUAUUGUUGGGAAUAGUCUCGAAUAAACUAGAUAUACAUUGAUAAAUUAUAUCAUUUAUUUCACAAGAGUCGAAACAUGGAAAACAAGUUGUUUUCAUCUUAUUUGUGAUAAGGAAUGGAGCAAAAAAUUUAUAUAACGUGCGCUAGUUAUUAACCCUUCAAAUAAAUAGCCAAAUAGGAUUAAGUAUCACGGUUUACUUUGGUAAAUUCUAGAAAUUUAGGUUGAAUAUGAAACACGUGAUUUGCGUACUAUUAAAUAAUACUAUUUUAAUUACUGAAUUUAUUAUAGUUUGCUACUUUCGUAAGUUUGCAGGAAUUGAAUUGGUUUGUUUUCGAACUUUCAUGAAGUCUUAUUUUUAAGCGCGAAUUAAUCAAGUAAGUAUUUUAAAUUGUCAUAAUAAUCAUAGACAUUUUAGAGAGGACUGUAUAUGCGUACAGUAAUAUCUGUAUACAAGUCAAUUUUUUCUCAGUUUCGUAUAACUUAGCUAGACAAAAUAAAUACUUUUCAAAGUUGAAUGGGGAAAAACGAAGCGUAUAUGUAGAACUUAAAUAUAUGUUUAAAUCUCUACGCAAGAAAUUCUUAGAAAUGCAUUUUAAAUACGUUUUGGAACAUCUCGAUGUUUCCUUCUUAUCAGUAAUUACUGAAUAAUUCGAAAUUAAAAAAAAAACUGAAUUAAGAAAAAUCAUUGACUGAAAGUUGCACCAUUAACUAAUUAAUUUAAAAAUGUUCCCUUUCUUGUUGUUUCGGAGUAUCUAAAAUUGGCUAGACAGUUAUCAAAAUGUCUGUUAUCUCAAUUAAAAAAAAGUGGACCGGACUGGGAAAAUCGUUUUCAAUCAGGCAGAAAUGAAUGUGUUUGUAAAUCUUUAAUAUGUCCGAAAUAGCUUUCGAAGCAAGGUUUCAGCUUUAUUUAUGUUCCCUUCGGCGAUCAUUUCUCAAGCUUUUCCGUUGUUGAGACUUAGGAGCAAUAAAGCCAUAUCGAGAAUAGUUUACGGAUGAUCGAAAACCGAACUAUUCCAGAUUGGCUAUCGUGGGAUAUAAAUUACGGUUAAAUUUGAUGUAAUUACGAGGCCGUUUUAACAGUAGAAAAGUCAGAUUUGUCUUGUCGAAUUCUAAAAUUACUAGAACCCUAUUGAAGGAGCCGGCUUUUAGACGAACCCCCCUCAUAGAAUUUUCUUUUUAGCUGCAGGCUGCUUUUGUAAUAGGAUUGUCUGGUUACAAAAAUAGUUUGGCGGUGCAAUACCUGACAUACGACUCCGAAACUACCUUACCGUUUUUAGUUUUUAAGGAAAAUACCCUUCUCUGUUUCGUUACUAGAAGAAGAAUCCACGAAUAAGACAAUACAUACAAAGGGAAAAAAUUAUUAAAAAAAUGCUAUUUAUGUGUAUAGAGAGAAUGUAAAGUCGGAAGUAUCUGUGUUUCCUGGAAGUGUUAAUAAGAUUGCGAAUGAAAAGACUUUUCUGUAAAGGAAAGGAUAAAUCAGGCACAUAAUGUAUCAUUGCCGCAAUUAUUGCUUGUAGACGUACACUGUAAAGGCACACUUCAUUAAACAGCUUUUCCGGUUGUUAAAACGCAUCGGGAAAAAAGUAAUAUGUUUUUUACCGAUACAAACAGGUUUUUUUCACGCCUGUAAGGAGAAGAAAUGCUCAAACGAAGAAAAUAAAAGAAAAAAGUUUAAAAUAACUAUAAAAUCAGCACGUUCUACACUCUUAACCAGUAGUGAAAGAAGUUUAAAUUCUGUAGAGAAUUUGAACAGUAAUACUUGUAAAUAUUAGCUUUAUAUCACUUUAGACUUAAACAACCAAAAAGAAAAAUUUAGAAUCAUAACUUGACUGAACAACAUAUAGCCUGCGGUCCGUUAUGAUUUUGAUAUCAUUUCCUAUUUUUCCCUUUGGUUAUUUAAGGUGAUAUAAAGCUAAUAUUUACAUGAAUUAAGUGGUAAAUGUACACAAGUCCAUCGAUUCGCAAGAUUUGGAUGUUCCUCCGUUUCCUGUGGCGGAUGUUUCUUAGUUCGAAAUUUUAUAAAUGCAUUGCAAUUCAGAUUUGAAAGACACUUUCUUUUUUAUCGCUCGAUUGAUUUUCUUUCCCCCUUUUUUGUUAAGAUUUCUUUCUCAUAGAGCUCCAGAGAAAUUUCUAACGUUAGCAUAAAAUUUAAUGGUUAAUAUUUUUGAAUAUGAAGAGACAUGUUAAAUAUUUAAACGUUUAUGCAUUCAAUUUUGUAUUUCGGAGGACGGUGUUGCUAACAAAUGGCGGUGUUGUCAUGGUAACAAAUUCCUACUGAGGCUGUUUUCUCGAUUAUUAGCAAUGUGGCUUUUCUGUCAUUUAUAGCGUGAUUCUUCUCCCUCUUUCAAUCUCUUCCGCUAAAGGUCGCGUUUUUUCCCUCUCCGCCGUUCGUUCGUUUUAUCUGCAACUGUGUCAAGGCUAUCAAUGUCAAGGUUAUUCAACUUUAAAACGAUCGCUCUCGGUUUUCUUAUUUUUCUGGAAAAUCUGGGUCGAUCCGUUGGUUUUUCCCCCCCUCCUCCUCCUCCUCCUUUCUUUCCUCCACUAGAGGAUUUCUAGAGAUUAAGCUGGAUGCUAGCAUUCUCGGAGGUUAUUGCACUCCAGUUUCUCUCUGUUUCGUGUAAUGGGAAGCCCUAUUAAUUUGCAUGAAACAAAAAAAAAGAGAGAGAGAAGAGGCAUUUUUAUUUUCUUUUUUGGAGUCGGUUUUGUAGUACCACGAAUAAGGCGAGAAGGUUAAUAAACUUUCUAUUUACAUCAAUGGAAGCUCUGUUCUCGGUUUGCAUGUGCUCUUUAAUAUUUAGUUACCGGAUAAAAUAAAGGAAAAAUUAAAUUGGCGACUACAGCUUUGCGGUGUUUCUUUAUUUCUUUUAUGGAUUAAGCGUUUGUUCGAGAUCGAAUACGGACUGCUAUAGUUUUACGUUUGUCUCUGGGAAGAAAAUUAGAUGCGAAUGUGAGAGAUGUGUCGGUUAGGUCUGACAGCUCUCAUUGGUUGCUCCGAAAUGCUCCUCCUACUGCGUAACUGAUAUGCUGUCAACAUGUUCAUGGUAGGCUAACUAUUAGCUAUUACUGAAAUGCCUUGUGGAUGGAUUGGGUUUGAGCUGGUUAACAAAUUGUUUAGUCUAAUUUUAUUUUAUUUGUUUUUUGCUGUACUCUUUGAACAAUUGCAUCCCGGAGGCAUUCUUGUUUUAUUUUUUAGUUGUUUUUUUUAACUGACAGUUUGUUUUACAGUUAAUUUUUUUUACCCUCCUUUAUAGUAUCGAGACUAGAUUCGGCACAGAAUUAUGUAAAUACUGACUCUUUCAGAUUGAAAGCUUUGCUGAAGGUAGCUUCAACGUUGUUAAUUUUCCAUUUUUUUUUUGUUUCGUGUUUUUAGGCUUUGGUAUAGGUGGUAUUGAUUUCUCUCUCUCUCUCUUUUUCUCGCUCCCCCUCCCAACUGGUGAGGCCAUCGCCGUUAUGUGGGAAAAUUUUAAUG